AGAGUUUGAUCAUGGCUCAGGACGAACGCUGGCGGCGUGCCUAACACAUGCAAGUCGAGCGGGGACAUUGAAGGAGUAAUCUGACGGUGUUCUAGCGGCGGACGGGUAAGUAACGCGUGAGCAACCUGUCCUUGUCAGGGGGAUAAGAAGCCGAAAGGCUUUCUAAUACCGCAUGAGACCACGGCUCCCCCAUGGAGCAGAGGUCAAAGGAGCAAUCCGGACAAGGGUGGGCUCGCGUCUGAUUAGCUAGUUGGUGGGGUAACGGCUCACCAAGGCAGUGAUCAGUAGCCGACCUGAGAGGGUGAUCGGCCACAUUGGAACUGAGAGACGGUCCAAACUCCUACGGGAGGCAGCAGUGGGGAAUAUUGGGCAAUGGGCGAAAGCCUGACCCAGCAACGCCGCGUGAAGGAAGAAGGUUUUCGGAUCGUAAACUUCUAUCCCGGGUGAAGAUAAUGACGGUAGCCCGGAAGGAAGCCCCGGCUAACUACGUGCCAGCAGCCGCGGUAAUACGUAGGGGGCAAGCGUUGUCCGGAAUGAUUGGGCGUAAAGGGCGCGUAGGCGGCCUUGUAAGUCCGAUGUGAAAUUCCUGCUUUUAAGGUAGGAAUUGCAUUGGAAACUGCGGGGCUUGAGUGCAGGAGAGGUAAGUGGAAUUCCCGGUGUAGCGGUGAAAUGCGUAGAGAUCGGGAGGAACACCAGUGGCGAAGGCGACUUACUGGACUGUAACUGACGCUGAGGCGCGAAAGUGUGGGGAGCAAACAGGAUUAGAUACCCUAGUAGUCC
This 780-nucleotide ribosomal RNA is filed under the name uncultured bacterium. RNAcentral describes it as "bacterial SSU rRNA". It matches the Rfam family "Bacterial small subunit ribosomal RNA", at positions 8 to 796 of the family's 1533-position model. The record is from RNAcentral.